Long non-coding RNA from Cryptomeria japonica (Japanese cedar), 7213 nucleotides. RefSeq lists it as uncharacterized. The record is from RefSeq and is a predicted model, not a curated record. The transcript has 3 exons. Lineage: Eukaryota; Viridiplantae; Streptophyta; Pinopsida; Cupressales; Cupressaceae.
GUGGACCAUGAAAUAACAGGCACAUUAUUAACCUACAUGGGUGGACCAUGAAAUAAUAGCUGCCAAACAAUCUGAUGGCAGCUAUUACGUUAUAACCCCAGAUAUUGUCUAUGUUCAAUGUAUGUGUAGAUGUUGUCUAAGUUCAAUGUAUUUAAAACCUAUACAACCAUUCGCCCACUUUUCAGCAGCAUUUGUAAAGAGGGAAAACAGAGCAUAACGGGAGAACCAAGAAAUUUGAACAGUAGGAAUGGCAGAUCUGAAGUUUGAAGCGAGUUUUCUUCAGAGCAUCGUUGAAGCGAGUGUUCCAGAAAGAGCAUUGUGAAAAUUCCCGUGAUAGACUCGAAAAGGCGUGCAGAUUGGAAGAAAAGAGACGAGUAUCCAGGGAUGCUCAAAACCCUACCUGAAAGUGAGGGAUUCGAAAGAUGUGCCCGAUCCAGUUGCCCGAUGAUCGUCUGGAAUUCAGGAGGUCAAAGAAUUGGACGAUGUAAAAAUAUGCCGGAUGUAAAAUAAUUGUAUUUGUUCAAUUUAUUUUUGAAACUGAGUUCUUAUUGGGUAUUGAAGAGUGAUUGUGGCCUAUUGGAAGUAGGAUGUGUAAUUAAUGAUUUCUUAGGCCUUAUUCUCAAAAUAGCCUUUAUAAAAAUACUUUCUAGAACAAAUAAUGAGGUGGGAUCUAGGAAGUAGUUGGCUUCCCCAAAAGGUUUCAAACAUCUCAUCAUUAAAGGAUAUUUAAUGGUCAUGCUUAACAUUGUUUGAAAUAGGUGUUCUCCAAAAUACAAGUUGAGAAACAUUCUCAAAUUUUCCUAGCCAUUAUUGGACAAGUUGAGACUUCUUCUCGACUAGACGUUAUUUCCAAAGAGCAAACUCGAACUGACCAUUCAUUGUUUCCAAUAAGUAAAUAGAAUAGCAUACCUCUAGCCCAAUCAUGGUAUUGGCACUCUUGAAAAACUAAGCAUUCAUUAUUUUCAAGAAGUGAAUAUGAUAGCAAUCAUAGCAUGCAUCUAGUUUAAUCAUGGUUUUGAUCUUGAUCCUCUUGAGGAACUAAUUAUUCACAAUAAUAUGGAUAGAUAUAAACUAUUGGGGUACCUUUUUCUUUUGAAGAACUAACCAUACACAAUAAGGAAGAUAGAUGGAAACUAUUGAGGGACCUUUUACUUUUGGAAUUUGGAGAGGGAUUUCAUUUCAAUAGUUUGUUUUUGGAAUUUUGCUUCAUUUUUGUAAGCUUUAUUUAGGUACAAUCUAUGUUAAGUGAACCAUUCAUGUUCAUGAGAGAUAGAUUCAUGUGAAUUUUUCCUCAUAAAAUAGAGUCAAUGAGUUUGAUUAAAAAAGUAUAUAAUUAAAUUAUUUCAAAACAACAUAUACAAAAAUAUCUCUUGUAAUUUUAUUCCAAUUAGUCUUUGUUUCCUCAUGUGAACAUGUAAUUUUAUCUUUAAGCCUUGAUUCAAAAUGAUGGGAACUUUAAAAUGACAAAGUGUUUUGAUUCGCAUGCUUAACGCACUCCAAUUGGGUAUAUUAUUGAUAAGGGUGAGUUGGAUAGGCAUUCUUUUUAACUUUUAAGAUUGAGUUGUGAAACAUUGAGUUCUCCAUUGGUUUACCAUGGAUAAAGCUUUAUGUUUGUAAAAUCAUAGAAGCAUCAAGUUAAGCUGGAAAUACUUGUUUUUUAGGUUUAAGGCACUACUAAAUCAAAUGCUUAUGCCACUCCACUUUCCCUAUAUCAUUGGAAAUGGUAAGAUGGAUUGGUAUUUAUCUUUCUUUUGCUAAUUUUAUCUUUUAAGAUUGAGUUGUAAAGCAUUAAGCUAUCUAUUGAGUUAUCACGAAACUUAAGUUCUUUAUGUACCCAAAGAUGAUGGAAAUUAAAUUAGAAUGCCCUAUUGUUGGGAUAUAGCAAAAAAGUCUCCAUGAUUCAAUCUAGAAUUAUUCACUAGCAAAUUCUAGCUGUGUUGGGUAUAGGCAAUGUUGAGGUAGAGAUGCACAAUUGUGCAAACAUAAAGAUAACCUCGAAGUUCUUUUAAAGAUGCUCAAUUUCUCUAGGGAUAAAAAGAUGGCAAUGUUGAUGGCUAGAGCAUAAGAUCAUGAGAAAUAUAGAGGUGGGCUUAAGAAAGCAUUAGAGUCAACGUAAAUAUAGAUCAAAAGUUGGAACGAAAUUGAGAUUAAUUUAGUGCCAAUUUUUUUACAUAUGGUAACAAUUUAUGGUCAAGUCUUUAGGUUUAGUUCAAUAUCAUGUCAAUGUGGGGUGUAAACUUGUGAAAUAUGUAGUGGUUGUUUGCUUAAAGGUUGUAGGUAGUAAAGUUGAGUGAAAUACAAUUCAACUAUAUCAACAAAGAAUUUGUAAAGACUAAAAUUAUUCAACAAAUAAUUUGCAAAGACAAAUUAUUCUCUAGUAAUUGUUUAAAAACUUAAUAUACUAGCUACAAGAACUAUAAUUUUAUUUCAAAUAAAUUAGAAAUUGAAGCUCUUAAAAUGAAAAAAAUAGUAACCUAGAAAUUUUGCUAGUGUCAACAUCAUCCACCUGAAAUCCACAAGUUAACACAAUAAUACUCACAACAAAAGAAAAUUAAGCGAGAGGUGGGGCCACUAAGAGAUUCUAUACCUCAUACCUGUAAAUUGAUAUAAACUAUUGUAAUCAUUCUUCAUACAAUUUGUUAAUAUCACACUACUCAUUAAAACUAAUCCAACAAUUUUAUGAAUUAUGAUCUCACAUCAAUCAUAUAGAAUAAGACUACAUUUAAGGAGAGAAAAUAAUGUCACCAAAACUUCAUGAGAGUGGGCUCUCCUCAUGUUUUUAUGAGGCGAUUGAAAAAAAAAAUUGUAAAUUCUCCAAGAUUCAACUACAUUGUUAUAUACUUUUUUGGGGAUAAAAAAUACACACACACGUGCACGCAUGUCACACACACACACACACACACACACCAAUUCCUUAUUGAAGUUAAUAGAAUUUUUAUGGCUCAUAGCUUUCACUAAAUCCAUUAAAAAUAAGGUACAUGACCGCUCUUCACCAUAAAAUAUAAAACCAAUAUAUCAUCACUCACAACAAAAUAAUAUAUAGUUGUAUUUUUCCCUAUAGUUAUUUAUUAUUGUUUGAUCCCACUCAAACAAAUAAAUCAAUUUUUCCUAAAUUGAAUUUUUGAAGUCUAUUUUAUUCCUUUGAACCUAUUAAAUACAUUCAUUUCCAAAUAAAAUAUUUAAGUAAAGACAUAAGAGGUAAAAUCUAAGUUGGCAUGUAAAUUUGACAAACAAGUCAAAAAAAUAAAAAAUACAUAGGUCUUUGACUCAUCAAAACCCUAACCUUCCAAUUACUUCCAUGGCUUCUUUUAGUAAAUUGAUAAAAUCAAGGUGUAUAAUAAGUGUAUGGGAGUGGGUGUAUGAGUGUGUAUGAUAAAUGCAUAAUCUAGUUCAAUAUAUUAGAAUGUUUUGUAUAUGGAUAGUAUUAUAGAAGAUAAAUGUGUGAGGAUUUGUGUAAGUUGGUAAGUAGAUAAAUUGAAUUUCCAAAGUCUAUUUUAUUCCUUUGAACCUCUUAAAUGCAUUCAUUUCCAAAUAAAAUGUGUGGCAAAAGCCAAGUUGGUAAAUAAAUUCGAUCGACAAUCUGAAUUCUUAUGAUAAUAAAAUACAAAAUUAUUAGACUUUUGACUCAUCAAAAUGCUAACCUUAUAAUUACUUACAUUGCUUCUUUUUAAGGAAUUGAUAAAAUUACUGGGUAAUAAGUUUAUGGGAAUGGGCACAUGAAUAGGUACAAAAAAUACAUAUUCUAGUUCAACAUGUUAGAAAUGUUUUGUAUAUAGAUAGCAUAGAGGAUAAAUGUGUGGGGAUGUAUUUAAGUAGAUAAGUAAGAUUGAUUUAAAAUAUAGAUCCUAUUAUAAGAUUCACAUAUGAUUUUUAUUAAUUGUUAACAACUCUAAAAGUGGAUUUUUAUGGCUUGAAUUGGCAAGUUUGCUCCUAUUGAUAAUUGGAUUACCUCGAUAAAUUGUAUUGGCAAUAGAGGUGAAUGUGGAUAGUUUAAACAUGGCAAUUAAGCUAGAAACAAUUAUUUGUUUAUUUCAACUACCAAAGGUCAAAAUUCUUGAUUUUCAUCUCUUGGAAAGUUCAAGAAUAUGCUUAGGGAGUUUACCAAUCACUUUUGGAGCUGGGCUCUUAUGUUUAUCUUCAUUGAAAUAGAAAUUAUCUAGGUUUAACCAUUGUUGUCAUAGGGUUUGAGGCAAAACAUCUUUUGGAUGGAGAGAAUUACUCUUGCCAUUUUUUGAGAGUUGUAAAGCUAAAAAUUUAGACCAACAUUCAUUCACAUUGAUUAAAAGGAGAUUAUUUACUUUUCCAAUUAUAGUUUUUUCUUAUUUUAGGUUUCAAUAGACUAAAUUGUGUGUCAUUGUCAUUGUAAGAAUUUUGCAUUUAUUUUUAUGCUUGAGUUUUGGUACUAUAUUUCCAUUUUUGCAUUCACUCAAAGGAAUUCCCACUGCACCUCUUUACUUGUUGUUUUUUAGUUUAAUAUUUUUUUAAUUUGCUAUGUUUACAAUAAAGUGUUAUAAUAUUAUUUUCAAUUGUGAAUUUUGAAUGCUAUAAUAUUUAUUAACUUCAUCAUAUAAUAUAAUAUGAGAUUGAAAUGGAAGAGAAAAAUAUAAUUGUGAGAUUGAAGGUGACUAAAAAAUCAUUGUUAUUAAUAUUUUACACUUAAUAUAAGACCUCUCAUAUAGGAGGCUUGUAGCUAACCAUUGCAUUGUGGGGUCAUCCCUUUUUGUGUUUAUUGUUAUUGUUUGAUUUACAUUCUAUAAUUAAAGAAGUCAUCUUAACUUAGUUUUAAUGGGUGAUGUAAAAAUAUUUUCUAAAUAUUUUUAAAGGAUAUCAAAUCACAUAUCUUUAUAUUUUUUAAUAAAAGAAUGCUAAUUAAACUUUGCUUUGUAUAUUCUUUUUAAAUGGUUCAAUAAAAUGAUUGAAAUAUUGAGAUAUUUUAGCCCUCCACAAAGUAUCAAUCCAUCAAAGUAUAGAGUGAAAGUUGGGCAUGUGUGAUGAGUAAGAGGAGGUAACCAAGUGCACCAUAAAAUUUAUGUGGUAUAGUUUGCAUCUUGGAACUUCAGUAUAUAAUUAUUUUCAAUGUUUUAAAAUGAUUUUACUUUAUUUUUGUUAUUUAGAAAAAUUGGUUAAAUUUUUAAAAUCUUAGAUUUGCGAUUCUAACUUUUAACACCAUGAUUGCUCCUGACGACAGCAUCUCAAUCUCAAUGCCAAUUAGUCUACUUGCCAUGCCGACAAAAACAAUUUAGAAUGUCUUUUGUAAAGAGAAUGGUAUGCAAUUGUUCUUCGUUACUCCUCUCUGCUUUCCUGUCUUCCAACUAUCUGCUUGAACUUGAGAACUACGAAGGCCAUCAUAAUGGCUCUAAAGUUUGUCUUAGAAAAGUACAUGAGGAUGCAAACUUAUUUUGUGCCACAAAUUUCAGUGUACUUCAAAGUGCUGCGUCACUUGUGUAACUGAUGGACGAUGGAGAGAUUGCAGUCUUAGGCAUGGUUGUUACGUUUUAUGAAGGGGCCUAUAAGCUUGGAUGUGCAGGUAAGUAUCAUAAUUGGCCAUGUUAGUAAGGAUAAGUUUUGUAAAUAUUUAAUUUUUUAAUGUCAAUUAAUUUAUUAUUUAUUAUAAAUUGGACAUAGAUUUUCAUUAAUAUUUCAGUGUUUUCUUAUCGUAAAAUAUAUUUUGUAUUGUUAAAAGUGAAUUUAUAAGAAUUUUUUUGGGUCUAGAAUGUUUUUUAUUUAACUUAAUUAUUUUUCAAGUGAAUUUUUUUGUUAAAAUAUUUUUAUGUUUUAUUUUUUUUUUUAAAUUAAAUAUUAGAGAAACAAAAUUGUGUAUAAGAAAAUGAAAUUAUAUUUAAAAUAGAAUAUUUUUAUAGACAUGUUUUGUUUUCCUGUUAAAAAAUUAUUAACACUCGUGUAACCCAUCUAAUUCCCUGUUAGAAAUUAGGACUUCUCUUUCCUUGAAAACAUUUAUGAGGUCUUGUUUUAUUUUAUUGGUUCAUAUUCAUGUUCUGCAGCUUUAUGUCUUUAGGUCUUUGUUUUAUUUUCUUGUUUCAAUCGAACUGAGACAGGGAGUGGAAAAGAGAAGCAAACCAACCUUACAUAUAUACAUGGUGCUUGAUAGCUAUUGAGCUUCCCCCUGUUCUGCUUUCUUAUUUGCACUCGAAUUCAAGAUUGAAACCCCUCUUUUUGUGUAACAAUUCAAUUUGGUAACUGAAGGUUGGCCAAAGUGGAAUACACAAUGAAAUGAAUUACCAGUGCUUAUGUCUUUAUUUGUUUUAAAUAGAUCUACAAAGAAGAAGUUGCUUGAUCUAUAAUUAUCUUUUCUAUGAAUAGAUUGGUGAGUUUGUUUCUAUGUAGAUUUUGCUUUUUUAUUUAGUUUAUCACUUUCAUAUCCCAAAAGAAGGGUUGUUUAUUUGAGCAAUGUGUUCUCCUUAAGAAAUUAUUCGUAGAGAAUACUAGCCUUAGAAGAUUAAAAAUGGUAGAUGGAGACAAGUAGUGUUAAGUGUCGUUCUCAAGUUAGAUAAUUGCAGAAAGGAAAACAUAAACACACCACAUUCUCAAGCUGCUUAUAAACAAUCAUAUCAUGGCAGUAAAUACACCAAAGUUUUGUACAAUAUAUCUAUAUCGAGUUGGCUGAAUCGCUCAAGCCAACUAAACAAAGUUGGCAUGCUCUUCGUUUAUAUGGAAAACAAACUUUUACUUGAGAGUUGUUGUUUGAAAUGCAUUCCGAAUUUCUCUAUGUAAUGUUCAUAUCUGUACCUGCACCAAUACCAAUUGCUGGCGAAUUAUUGAUGCCAUCGCCCACCAUUGUAACCAUCUUACCAAACAUCUGCGAUGACUGAAUAAGCCAGGCAAUUCAGACAAGAAUAUGGCAUGUGAAAGGUAAGGCAGGUAAUUGAAGCUUCUGUUGUUUGUUCUUGGUGUUGUAUUGAAUUGAAUCAUGUGAUUAGAUUCAAAGUAUGUGUAUCUGCAGAAGCAAAUUAAAGGCCAAAGCCAUAUUUCCUUUCUUGGACUAUAAUUGAAUUCAAAUUGAAUAGAAAGAUUCAAGCGCUUAGAUAGCUUUACAAUGCAAAACAUUGCAAAUUCAUUAAAAUUCAGGCCUUAAUGGUGGAUUUUUCUUGGGUGUCUCUGAUCUUAAAUUUUUAACAGAAUCAUUUUAGUUUUCAUUCCUUCAUAAGAUGACCCUCAAUGAGAUGUGAAAAUGUCAGUUUCCUACUUUAUUUAA